GACCUCGGAUCAGGUAGGGAUACCCGCUGAACUUAAGCAUAUCAAUAAGCGGAGGAAAAGAAACCAACAGGGAUUGCCUCAGUAACGGCGAGUGAAGCGGCAACAGCUCAAAUUUGAAAUCUGGCCCCUCCGGGGUCCGAGUUGUAAUUUGUAGAGGGUGUUUCGGGCGACGCGCCGGUCUAAGUCCCUUGGAACGGGGCGUCAUAGAGGGUGAGAAUCCCGUAUGCGACCGGCGACCGAGCCCAUGUGAAACCCCUUCGACGAGUCGAGUUGUUUGGGAAUGCAGCUCAAAACGGGUGGUAAAUUCCAUCUAGGUCUAAAUACCGGCCAGAGACCGAUAGCGCACAAGUAGAGUGAUCGAAAGAUGAAAAGCACUUGGAAAGAGAGUCAACAGUACGUGAAAUUGUUGAAAGGGAAGCGCUUGCAACCAGACCUGCCCGCGGGCGAUCAGCCGUCCUUCUGGGCGGUGCACUCGCCCGCGAUCAGGCCAGCAUCGGUUCGGGCGGUCGGAUAAAGGCCUCGGGAACGUGGCUCCCCUCGGGGAGUGUUAUAGCCCUUGGUGCAAUGCGGCCUGCCCGGACCGAGGACCGCGCUUCGGCUAGGAUGCUGGCGUAAUGGUUGUAAGCGGCCCGUCUUGAAACACGGACCAAGGAGUCGACCAACUAUGCGAGUGUUUGGGCGUCAAACCCACACGCGCAAUGAAAGUGAACGGAGGUGGGAACCCCUCGCGGGGCGCACCAUCGACCGAUCCAGAUGUCUUCGGAUGGAUUUGAGUACGAGCAUAGCUGGUCGGACCCGAAAGAUGGUGAACUAUGCCUGAAUAGGGUGAAGCCAGAGGAAACUCUGGUGGAGGCUCGCAGCGGUUCUGACGUGCAAAUCGAUCGUCAAAUUUGGGCAUAGGGCGAAAGACUAAUCGAACCAUCUAGUAGCUGGUUCCAGCCGAAGU
This 946-nucleotide ribosomal RNA is filed under the name Rusavskia elegans. RNAcentral's name for it is "partial large subunit ribosomal RNA". It matches the Rfam family "Eukaryotic large subunit ribosomal RNA", at positions 1 to 967 of the family's 3401-position model. The record is from RNAcentral. Lineage: Eukaryota; Fungi; Ascomycota; Lecanoromycetes; Teloschistales; Teloschistaceae.